This 754-nucleotide ribosomal RNA is filed under the name uncultured bacterium. Its description in RNAcentral is "bacterial SSU rRNA". It matches the Rfam family "Bacterial small subunit ribosomal RNA", at positions 8 to 795 of the family's 1533-position model. The record is from RNAcentral.
AGAGUUUGAUCCUGGCUCAGGAUGAACGCUGGCGGUAUGCUUAACACAUGCAAGUCGAACGGGGGGAGACCUUUAGGGGUUGAACCUAGUGGCGGACGGGUGAGUAACGCGUGAGAACCUGCCUUCAAGACGGGAACAACAGUUGGAAACGACUGCUAAUACCCGAUAAGCCGAAAGGUGAAAGAUUUAUCGCUUGGAGAGGGGCUUGCGUCUGAUUAGCUAGUUGGUGGGGUAAAUGCUUACCAAGGCGACGAUCAGUAGCUGGUCUGAGAGGAUGAGCAGCCACACUGGGACUGAGACACGGCCCAGACUCCUACGGGAGGCAGCAGUGGGGAAUUUUCCGCAAUGGGCGAAAGCCUGACGGAGCAAUACCGCGUGAGGGAGGAAGGCUCUUGGGUUGUAAACCUCUUUUCUUAAGGAAGAAGUUCUGACGGUACUUAAGGAAUAAGCAUCGGCUAACUCCGUGCCAGCAGCCGCGGUAAUACGGAGGAUGCAAGCGUUAUCCGGAAUCAUUGGGCGUAAAGAGUCCGUAGGUGGUCAUUCAAGUCUGCUGUCAAAGCAUGAGGCUUAACCUCAUACAGGCAGUGGAAACUGUGGGACUAGAGUUCGGUAGGGGUAGAGGGAAUCUCCAGUGUAGCGGUGAAAUGCGUAGAGAUUGGAAAGAACACCAGUGGCGAAAGCGCUCUACUAGGCCGAAACUGACACUGAGGGACGAAAGCUAGGGGAGCGAAAGGGAUUAGAUACCCUGGUAGUC